AACACACUAAAUGUAUUGUAGUUAUGAGGCCUGAGGUAAAACACUAAAUGUAUUGUAGAUAUGUGGCCUGAGGUAAUACACUAAAUGUAUUGUAGUUAUGAGGCCUGAGGUAAAACACUAAAUGUAUUGUAGAUAUGUGGCCUGAGGUAAUACACUAAAUGUAUUGUAGUUAUGAGGCCUGAGGUAAAACACUAAAUGUAUUGUAGAUAUGUGGCCUGAGGUAACACACUAAAUGUGUUGUAGUUAUGAGGCCUGAGGUAACACACUAAAUGUAUUGUAGAUAUGAGGUAGUAGUGGUCUAAGGUAACACACUAAAUGUAUUGUAGUUAUGUGGUAGUAGUGGUCUGAGGUAACACACUAAAUGUAUUGUAGUUAUGUGGCCUGAGGUAACACACUAAAUGUAUUGUAGAUAUGAGGCCUGAGGUAACACACUAAAUGUAUUGUAGAUAUGUGGUAGUAGUGGUCUGAGGUAACACACUAAAUGUAUUGUGAAAAGUGUUAUGAAAUGUUAUUGUCAUGUAAUAUUUUAAAUUGUAUAUAACUUCCCUAAUGUUGCUGGACCCCAGGAAGAGUAGCUGCUGCAUUGGCAGGAACUAAUGGGGAUCCAUAAUAAACCCCAGGAAGAGUAGCUGCUGCCUUGGCAGGAACUAAUGGGGAUCCAUAAUAAACCC
RNAcentral lists this long non-coding RNA (671 nucleotides) under Salmo salar (Atlantic salmon). Its description in RNAcentral is "lncRNA (ENSSSAG00000090828.1)". Lineage: Eukaryota; Metazoa; Chordata; Actinopteri; Salmoniformes; Salmonidae. The record is from RNAcentral.